This is a long non-coding RNA of Zootermopsis nevadensis, 568 nucleotides long. RefSeq lists it as uncharacterized. The record is from RefSeq and is a predicted model, not a curated record. Lineage: Eukaryota; Metazoa; Arthropoda; Insecta; Blattodea; Termopsidae.
UUUCAAAGUUCAUAUAACACUACAUUCAGAAUGCUUAUCAUGUCUCUACAAGCCUCAAAAUAAAAUGGAGUGGCUGUACAAUUAUAAAGGAAGCACUUAAAUAGUUACAUUAACAAUACAUUUUUCUGAUUUGUUGAAACAACAUGACUGCAUAUGUAUUGCAUCCUUAUGAGAUAAAUUCUCCAGGUUUCCUUUUCCAUCUUCAGAACUGAUAUCCAAAUUUCCCAAAAAGCUCUGAAUUUCGGAGACAUCAGAUUUACUUGAAGACUUCAUACAUGUGCACAUAUGGCUCUGCUGGGUAUACUUAUUGUGUUCUUCAUUCUCCUUGCACUGGCAAUUAUAAGUUUUCACUGAUGCUGUUUUUCUUUUCAGUUUUCUGCCUGUUGUUUUCCCUUAAAUGAACAUAACAUGGAAAUCAGUUGAUGUUUUAAAGUAUUUAGCUAAUUUAACUGUACUCUGUCAACAACGAGAAAAUUUUUGCUUAAAAACAUGCAGUAUUCUAGCACCUAAUAGCAGAUAUGUAAAUUUUUAAGAAGCUAAGUAUAAAUAAAUCAGCAUCUUAAUAAAA